RNAcentral lists this ribosomal RNA (253 nucleotides) under uncultured bacterium. RNAcentral's name for it is "partial 16S ribosomal RNA". It matches the Rfam family "Bacterial small subunit ribosomal RNA", at positions 524 to 776 of the family's 1533-position model. The record is from RNAcentral.
UACGUAGGGUGCGAGCGUUAAUCGGAAUUACUGGGCGUAAAGCGUGCGCAGGCGGUUCGUUGUGUCCGUCGUGAAAGCCCCGGGCUUAACCUGGGAACUGCGAUGGAAACUAGCGAGCUGGAGUGUGGCAGAGGGAGGUGGAAUUCCGCGUGUAGCAGUGAAAUGCGUAGAGAUGCGGAGGAACACCGAUGGCGAAGGCAGCCCCCUGGGCUAACACUGACGCUCAGGCACGAAAGCGUGGGGAGCAAACAGG